Molecule: ribosomal RNA, 187 nt
Filed under: uncultured bacterium
Lineage: Bacteria
Description: partial 16S ribosomal RNA
Rfam family: Bacterial small subunit ribosomal RNA
Source: RNAcentral
CCUACGGGAGGCAGCAGUAGGGAAUAUUGCACAAUGGGGGGAACCCUGAUGCAGCAACGCCACGUGUGGGAAGAAGCAUUUCGGUGUGUAAACCACUGUCGUGAGGGAAUAAGGCUAAUUUUCGGAUUAGUUGAAUGUACCUCGAGAGGAAGCACCGGCAAACUUCGUGCCAGCAGCCGCGGUAAUA